CAGCAGCCGCGGUAAUACGAGGGGGGCAAGCGUUGUUCGGAAUUAUUGGGCGUAAAGGGUGCGUAGGCGGUUUGGCAAGUUUGGUGUGAAAUCUUCGGGCUCAACUCGAAGUCUGCAUCGAAAACUGCCGGGCUUGAGUAUGGGAGAGGUGAGUGGAAUUUCCGGUGUAGCGGUGAAAUGCGUAGAGAUCUGGAGGAAUACCGAUGGCGAAGGCAGCCAUCUGGCCUAAUACUGACGCUGAGGUACGAAAGCAUGGGGAGCAAACAGGAUUAGAUACCCGGGUAGUCCCUGUCUCUUAUAC
Molecule: ribosomal RNA, 301 nt
Filed under: uncultured bacterium
Lineage: Bacteria
Description: partial 16S ribosomal RNA
Rfam family: Bacterial small subunit ribosomal RNA
Source: RNAcentral